GCUUUGCGGCACGAGUUGUAGAUUGCAGGUUGGAGUCUGUGUGGAAGGCGGUGUCCAAGUCCCUUGGAACAGGGCGCCCAGGAGGGUGAGAGCCCCGUGGGAUGCCGGCGGAAGCAGUGAGGCCCUUCUGACGAGUCGAGUUGUUUGGGAAUGCAGCUCCAAGCGGGUGGUAAAUUCCAUCUAAGGCUAAAUACUGGCGAGAGACCGAUAGCGAACAAGUACUGUGAAGGAAAGAUGAAAAGCACUUUGAAAAGAGAGUGAAACAGCACGUGAAAUUGUUGAAAGGGAAGGGUAUUGCGCCCGACAUGGGGAUUGCGCACCGCUGCCUCUCGUGGGCGGCGCUCUGGGCUUUCCCUGGGCCAGCAUCGGUUCUUGCUGCAGGAGAAGGGGUUCUGGAACGUGGCUCUUCGGAGUGUUAUAGCCAGGGCCAGAUGCUGCGUG
This 441-nucleotide ribosomal RNA is filed under the name Pichia kudriavzevii. RNAcentral describes it as "eukaryotic LSU rRNA". It matches the Rfam family "Eukaryotic large subunit ribosomal RNA", at positions 128 to 632 of the family's 3401-position model. The record is from RNAcentral. Lineage: Eukaryota; Fungi; Ascomycota; Pichiomycetes; Pichiales; Pichiaceae.